GAUGAACGCUGGCGGCGUGCCUAACACAUGCAAGUCGAGCGAACAGACGAGGAGUUCGCCUCUCUGAAGUUAGCGGCGGACGGGUGAGUAACACGUGGAUAACCUACCUAUAAGACUGGGAUCACUACGGGAAACCGGAGAUAACACCGGAUAAUAUAUUGAACGGCAUGGUUCAUUAGAGAAAGAGGGUUUUGCUGUCACUAAUUGAUGGUUCCGAGCUGCAUUAGCUAGUUGGUAAGGUAACGGCUUACCAAGGCAACGAUGCGUAGCCGACCUGAGAGGGUGAUCGGCCACACUGGAACUGAGACACGGUCCAGACUCCUACGGGAGGCAGCAGUAGGGAAUCUUGCGCAAUGGGCGAAAGCCUGACGGAGCAACGCCGCGUGAGUGAUGAAGGUCUUCGGAUCGUAAAACUCUGUUAUUAGGGAAGAGCAAAUGUGUAAGUAACUAUGCACGUCUUGACGGUACCUAAUCAGAAAGCCACGGCUAACUACGUG
This 497-nucleotide ribosomal RNA is filed under the name uncultured bacterium. RNAcentral's name for it is "partial 16S ribosomal RNA". It matches the Rfam family "Bacterial small subunit ribosomal RNA", at positions 28 to 507 of the family's 1533-position model. The record is from RNAcentral.